UACGUAGGGUGCAAGCGUUAAUCGGAAUUACUGGGCGUAAAGCGUGCGCAGGCGGUUUUGUAAGUCUGUCGUGAAAUCCCCGGGCUUAACCUGGGAAUUGCGAUGGAGACUGCAAGGCUAGAAUCUGGCAGAGGGGGGUAGAAUUCCACGUGUAGCAGUGAAAUGCGUAGAGAUGUGGAGGAACACCGGUGGCGAAGGCAGCCCCCUGGGUCAAGAUUGACGCUCAUGCACGAAAGCGUGGGGAGCAAACAGG
Molecule: ribosomal RNA, 253 nt
Filed under: uncultured bacterium
Lineage: Bacteria
Description: partial 16S ribosomal RNA
Rfam family: Bacterial small subunit ribosomal RNA
Source: RNAcentral